GCGGCGUGCUUAACACAUGCAAGUCGAACGAUGAACCACUUCGGUGGGGAUUAGUGGCGAACGGGUGAGUAACACGUGGGCAAUCUGCCCUUCACUCCGGGACAAGCCCUGGAAACGGGGUCUAAUACCGGAUAACACUUCCACUCGCAUGGGUGGGGGUUAAAAGCUCCGGCGGUGAGGGAUGAGCCCGCGGCCUAUCAGCUUGUUGGUGAGGUAACGGCUCACCAAGGCGACGACGGGUAGCCGGCCUGAGAGGGCGACCGGCCACACUGGGACUGAGACACGGCCCAGACUCCUACGGGAGGCAGCAGUGGGGAAUAUUGCACAAUGGGCGAAAGCCUGAUGCAGCGACGCCGCGUGAGGGAUGACGGCCUUCGGGUUGUAAACCUCUUUCAGCAGGGAAGAAGCGCAAGUGACGGUACCUGCAGAAGAAGCGCCGGCUAACUACGUGCCAGCAGCCGCGGUAAUACGUAGGGCGCGAGCGUUGUCCGGAAUUAUUGGGCGUAAAGAGCUCGUAGGCGGCUUGUCGCGUCGAUUGUGAAAGCCCGGGCCCCGCCUGGGGAGUACGGCCGCAAGGCUAAAACUCAAAGGAAUUGACGGGGG
RNAcentral lists this ribosomal RNA (603 nucleotides) under Streptomyces sp. Sp080513SC-34. Its description in RNAcentral is "bacterial SSU rRNA". It matches the Rfam family "Bacterial small subunit ribosomal RNA", at positions 39 to 919 of the family's 1533-position model. The record is from RNAcentral. Lineage: Bacteria; Bacillati; Actinomycetota; Actinomycetes; Kitasatosporales; Streptomycetaceae.